Molecule: transfer RNA, 73 nt
Filed under: Mustela putorius furo (domestic ferret)
Lineage: Eukaryota; Metazoa; Chordata; Mammalia; Carnivora; Mustelidae
Rfam family: tRNA
About the family: Transfer RNA (tRNA) molecules are approximately 80 nucleotides in length. Their secondary structure includes four short double-helical elements and three loops (D, anti-codon, and T loops).
Source: Rfam by way of RNAcentral
GCCCGGCUGGCUCAGUCAGUAGAGCGCGCGACUCUUGAUCUCAGAGUAGUGGGUUUGAGCCCCCUGUCGGGUA